Molecule: long non-coding RNA, 221 nt
Organism: Helianthus annuus (common sunflower)
Lineage: Eukaryota; Viridiplantae; Streptophyta; Magnoliopsida; Asterales; Asteraceae
Exons: 3
Source: RefSeq, a predicted model, not a curated record
GGUAGAAGAAACAAGCAUCACAUGAGUGCUGAAUUCACCUGUCGUGUUGAAGUCAAACGCAUACGCAAUAGCCAAGAGUGGUUCAGGUUGACAUGUGGCGGUGGGAAUUGCAUGAAAGGUGUGGGGCGUGAAGACAACGAUAUGUGGUGUGAUGGGUGCGAAAACCCCGUUGUCUUCCCGAGAGGAAGUUUCAGGCUAGAACUCGAGGUGUUUGACUCAAC